Molecule: ribosomal RNA, 253 nt
Filed under: uncultured bacterium
Lineage: Bacteria
Description: partial 16S ribosomal RNA
Rfam family: Bacterial small subunit ribosomal RNA
Source: RNAcentral
UACGAAGGGUGCAAACGUUGCUCGGAAUCAUUGGGCGUAAAGCGCACGUAGGCGGCCCUGUAAGUCGGAUGUGAAAUCCCACAGCUUAACUGUGGACGUGCAUUCGAAACUGCGGGGCUCGAGUAUGGAAGAGGGUCGCAGAAUACCCGGUGUAGAGGUGAAAUUCGUAGAUAUCGGGAGGAAUACCAGUGGCGAAGGCGGCGACCUGGGCCAAUACUGACGCUGAGGUGCGAAAGCGUGGGGAGCAAACAGG